CGGACGGGUGAGGAAUACAUCGGAAUCUACUCUGUCGUGGGGGAUAACGUAGGGAAACUUACGCUAAUACCGCAUACGACCUACGGGUGAAAGCAGGGGAUCUUCGGACCUUGCGCGAUUGAAUGAGCCGAUGUCGGAUUAGCUAGUUGGCGGGGUAAAGGCCCACCAAGGCGAUGAUCCGUAGCUGGUCUGAGAGGAUGAUCAGCCACACUGGAACUGAGACACGGUCCAGACUCCUACGGGAGGCAGCAGUC
RNAcentral lists this ribosomal RNA (254 nucleotides) under uncultured Stenotrophomonas sp. RNAcentral describes it as "partial 16S ribosomal RNA". It matches the Rfam family "Bacterial small subunit ribosomal RNA", at positions 99 to 355 of the family's 1533-position model. The record is from RNAcentral. Lineage: Bacteria; Pseudomonadati; Pseudomonadota; Gammaproteobacteria; Lysobacterales; Lysobacteraceae.